RNAcentral lists this transfer RNA (540 nucleotides) under uncultured Prochlorococcus sp. RNAcentral's name for it is "partial 16S-23S ribosomal RNA intergenic spacer". The stretch from base 126 to 199 matches the Rfam family "tRNA". The record is from RNAcentral. Lineage: Bacteria; Bacillati; Cyanobacteriota; Cyanophyceae; Synechococcales; Prochlorococcaceae.
CAGGGAGACAACAAAAUGUUUAAUAUUAUUAUUUUGUCACCUUAGGUCGAUCGGUAUCUCACGUUCUUAAUUUAUUAAGAAUUUCAUUCCCUAAGUUUUUCUAGGUCACACCCAUUUUUUUUCCUGGGCCAUUAGCUCAGGUGGUUAGAGNGNACCCCUGAUAAGGGUGAGGNCCCUGGAUCAAGUCCAGGAUGGCCCAUAUCUCUAUGUUGGGGGUAUAGCUCAGUUGGUAGACCGCCUGCUUUGCAAGAAGGAUGCCAGNGGUUCGAGNCCGCUUACCUCCACUGAUUACCACCUCUUCCAUAAUCUGUANAAAGGAAAAAAUUUUGAGUUAUGACCAUUAUUCUGGACGAAUCCAGCUUCCUAAUGAAAUCAUUAAGACGUUGGACUCAUUGAAUUAAUUUCUUUGUUUUCACAGAACCUUGACAACUGUUUANAUUAUUUUAAAGACAAUAAGCAUCUUUAAUGAUGCAUAUUUAUUAUUUGUGCAAAUGCAUCAAUACCAAUUCUAUUAAGCUGAUGCUUCAAUUUUGAAGNNAU